Molecule: ribosomal RNA, 505 nt
Filed under: Aurelia sp. 1 JRH-2014
Lineage: Eukaryota; Metazoa; Cnidaria; Scyphozoa; Semaeostomeae; Ulmaridae
Description: partial 16S ribosomal RNA
Rfam family: Bacterial large subunit ribosomal RNA
Source: RNAcentral
AAAAACAUAGCCCUACGACACUCUUGUAAGGUGAAGCCUGCCCAAUGACUGCCAAUAAUCUAAUAAAAAUCAGUUCAAUGGCCGCGGUAACUCUGACCGUGAUAAAGUAGCAUAAUCACUUGUCACUUAAUUGGUGACUGGAAUGAAUGGCUAAACGAAUCCUCCUCUGUCUCUGAAGAAAUCCUGGCAAAUUUGAAAUAGCAGUGAAGAUGCUGCUAAAUAAUUGUAAGACGAAAAGACCCUAUCGAGCUUUACUGGAAUCUUGCAAAGUAACAUAGUUAUUAAAGACAAAAUUAUACAAAUUGCAAGCCCGACAGUUUGGUUGGGGCGACCACCCCUAAAAACGUAUCAGGGGAACUCUAAAGGCUGUCAUAAUAUGAAAAACCGCCUUACUGGAGACAAACAAGUCAAUCAGUUAUAAUUUAUAGGACAUAUUGACCCGUUAUUUAGCUUCACAACAAAUAACGAUUAUGAAAAAAGUUACCGUAGGGAUAACAGGGUAAUA